Molecule: long non-coding RNA, 525 nt
Organism: Mesocricetus auratus (golden hamster)
Lineage: Eukaryota; Metazoa; Chordata; Mammalia; Rodentia; Cricetidae
Exons: 2
Source: RefSeq, a predicted model, not a curated record
UCAACAUGUGACGCCAUGGGGGUAGGACGCCGGGAACUAUUCUCCGCUCUGUUCUCUCAUGGGAUACUCCCUCCUGGGAGGAGGGAAGAGCACAGGAUUCAGGUGGACUUGCAGGAUUCCUACUCCCACUCAGGAAGCUUCUACUUGCAGCAGGACCCUGCCGGGAGAGGAGUCUUGCUUCCUGUAGCUGCCUGCGAGGAUCUCCAAGGAUGCAGCUUCCCGGAGCCGGAGCCGCCACCUCACUGGGUGAUUAACUCACCAGUGUAGACUUGGGUAUGGGGUUGUUCCUGCUGCCCCAGGGGCACUGUCUGUAGUGGACGACCUUGGUUCACGUCUGCCCUUGGAAGUCACUGAACACCCCUUCCUGGGCCAUUUCUGUUUUCCAGAAGCCCAAGCCCAGUCACUGCUCCUACCCUGCUGACUCUCAGGUGCCCAAGGCCCAGCGGCUCAGGGCCCAGCUCUAGUCUAGCUUUGUCUGAGUGGGCUCAGGUGGCCUGUGCCUGAACACGGUGUUUUCCUAUGGUC